CUUGGCGGCAAUAGCGCGGUGGUCCCACCUGACCCCAUGCCGAACUCAGAAGUGAAACGCCGUAGCGCCGAUGGUAGUGUGGGGUCUCCCCAUGCGAGAGUAGGACACUGCCAGGC
RNAcentral lists this ribosomal RNA (116 nucleotides) under Serratia liquefaciens. Lineage: Bacteria; Pseudomonadati; Pseudomonadota; Gammaproteobacteria; Enterobacterales; Yersiniaceae. The record is from RNAcentral. RNAcentral also lists the same sequence under 20 other names.